AUGGGGGCAACCCUGAUCCAGCCAUGCCGCGUGUGUGAUGAAGGCCUUAGGGUUGUAAAGCUCUUUCGCCGGUGAAGAUGAUGACGGUAGCCGUAAAAGAAGCCCCGGCUAACUUCGUGCCAGCAGCCGCGGUAAUACGAAGGGGGCGAGCGUUGUUCGGAAUUACUGGGCGUAAAGGGCGCGCAGGCGGCCUAUCCAGUCAGGUGUGAAAGCCCCGAGCUCAACUUGGGAACUGCACUUGAUACUGAUAGGCUAGAAAACGGAAGAGGGCAGUGGAAUUCCCAGUGUAGAGGUGAAAUUCGUAGAUAUUGGGAAGAACACCAGUGGCGAAAGCGGCUGCCUGGUCCGAUUUUGACGCUGAGGCGCGAAAGCGUGGGUAGCAAACAGGAUUAGAUACCCUGGUAGUCCACGCCGUAAACGAUGUAUGCUAGUUGUUGGGGGGAUGCCCCUCAGUGACGCCGCUAACGCA
Molecule: ribosomal RNA, 469 nt
Filed under: uncultured bacterium
Lineage: Bacteria
Description: bacterial SSU rRNA
Rfam family: Bacterial small subunit ribosomal RNA
Source: RNAcentral